GGGGGUGAACAGGGUUCGACGAGGGUGUCUGAGAUUCUGGUCGCAGGUCGAAGUCGUCCGCGCUUCGUUAAAAAACGGGCAAACCGUUAAACGCCAACACUGAGUUGGCUCUCGCGGCCUAAUACGCCGUGACGCUUGUCCCUGAACGCCGGCUACAGGGAACGAGCGCCAUUAGCCGGCUGGCCGCAUCCCGCGCGUUUCGUCGGGACCGGUGAGACACAACGGAGCUGGCACCCCAGCGGUUCUGUCUAGGGACAACUAGGGUGCGAGACCAAAGCCUAGGCUAAACCUGUAGUGACCGAGUCAACGCACUCCCGGACGCGGGUUCAAUUCCCGCCACCUCCACCA
RNAcentral lists this transfer-messenger RNA (348 nucleotides) under Elusimicrobia. RNAcentral's name for it is "JADKHR01 sp016788905 Standard tmRNA". It matches the Rfam family "transfer-messenger RNA". From Rfam's summary of the family: Bacterial tmRNA, also known as 10Sa RNA or SsrA, is named for its dual tRNA and mRNA-like properties. RNAcentral also lists the same sequence under 1 other name. The record is from RNAcentral. Lineage: Bacteria; Pseudomonadati; Elusimicrobiota.